Molecule: ribosomal RNA, 157 nt
Filed under: Cordyceps tenuipes
Lineage: Eukaryota; Fungi; Ascomycota; Sordariomycetes; Hypocreales; Cordycipitaceae
Also listed under: 1 other name
Description: 5.8S ribosomal RNA
Rfam family: 5.8S ribosomal RNA
About the family: 5.8S ribosomal RNA (5.8S rRNA) is a component of the large subunit of the eukaryotic ribosome. It is transcribed by RNA polymerase I as part of the 45S precursor that also contains 18S and 28S rRNA.
Source: RNAcentral
AACUUUCAACAACGGAUCUCUUGGUUCUGGCAUCGAUGAAGAACGCAGCGAAAUGCGAUACGUAAUGUGAAUUGCAGAAUUCCGUGAAUCAUCGAAUCUUUGAACGCACAUUGCGCCCGCCAGCAUUCUGGCGGGCAUGCCUGUUCGAGCGUCAUUU